UUCACACCCUGACAUUAUGAACAGUUAGAAAUCAGAAAUGCUCUAAAUUUAUGAAUUUCCCAUUACCAAUCUUAUUAGAUACUGAUUUUAUAUAUAUAUAAAAUCAUAAUAAACUUAAACCCAAAACUACAGGAACUAGACACAAAAUGGAUAAAUUUGGCAGAUCAGACUAUUGUGCAUAGACACAUAUACAUAUGAACUACAUUUAUCAAUCACAGAAUUUAUGGAUUACAUCAUUCUAAAUGAGUGGUCUUAAAUAAUGUGUGAUUUACGAUACCUGUAUUAUAAAUCACAUAAUAACCAAAUUCUCAAAAAGAAUAUUCAACUGGAUGGCCACAUAACUGUCACUUACAUUUUGAAUCUCACACCUUCAAUAUUUUAGGAGAAGCCAGGCUUGGUGAACUCCAUCUUUCAAUCUUCUGAUUGAAAGAUCUUUUCAUUGAUAUUGGCCAAUACAUGAUGGGUUCUGGAAGUGCCGUUGCCAAAUGUGUCCUUUUAAUUUGUUGAUGGUGCCUAAUACAUAGAGAAUAUCUUGCUUCAUUCUCAUCAAUAGAAAUGAUGUAAAAUUUAUAGUAAUAAGAUGAAUUAAAAAUUAAGAUGUCUUACCAUAUGCAACAUACAGUUGUAUAUGACAAAGACAAUAUUCAUUUCAGGCAAUUGUCUUUAAAUACUUUAAACAUGUGCAAUAGAUUGCAUCUGCUCUUAAAUGCCAGCACAGCAUGGAUACUAAGAUGCAAACAACAGAAAACAAAUUUAAAAAAUUUGAACUCCCAGAAUAAUUUGCUAUUGAUAAUUCUAUGUAUAUUUUUGUUAAUUUUGAUUUCCAACAGAUUAGACACUCAAUAUCAGGAUACCAAUAUGAAUAUUUUAUUGCAGACUUUGACAUAAAAUUUUGAGAUUCAAAUAGAGUAAUGACAAUUUUAUAUAGUUAUAAGGCUUGAGGAUGAAACUAAUUAUUGAACAUUAAAAUUAUACUAUUUUAAAACAAACCAGGAAAGACUAUAGAAUUGGAC
This 1013-nucleotide long non-coding RNA is filed under the name Androctonus crassicauda. Lineage: Eukaryota; Metazoa; Arthropoda; Arachnida; Scorpiones; Buthidae. The record is from RNAcentral.